UAAAUUGGAGGCGUUUGCCAACCGGGUCGCCUAAUCCUGAGGAGCUCCAAGGGAAAAGAAGGGACGUGCUGAAAAUGUAGUUGGACGCGCGGCCAGGGUUCGGAAUUAAGCCUCUAAUUUUAGAUUAGAUUUCACAAGUUAAUCGUCGGAUGUGGUUGAAACUGCAGCCAGAAUGGAAAAAUCGCUAGCGGCGAAAACCAGCGCGA
This is a long non-coding RNA of Drosophila gunungcola (fruit fly), 206 nucleotides long. RefSeq lists it as uncharacterized. The transcript has 3 exons. NCBI's taxonomy places the organism in Eukaryota, Metazoa, Arthropoda, Insecta, Diptera, Drosophilidae. The record is from RefSeq and is a predicted model, not a curated record.